RNAcentral lists this long non-coding RNA (618 nucleotides) under Salvator merianae (Argentine black and white tegu). RNAcentral's name for it is "lncRNA (ENSSMRG00000018071.1)". The record is from RNAcentral. Lineage: Eukaryota; Metazoa; Chordata; Lepidosauria; Squamata; Teiidae.
GACAGUUUAAGGAGGUUUGAAUUGAAUAUGCGCCCAGAGGCGAGCGGUCUGCUUAGAAAUAGUGUUCUCAUAAGGCAUCCGAUCUGCACGGCUGAAGGAGCUACCGCUGGUGUCGGGUUAGGGCUCCGCACCCAAGAUUUCUUGCUGGUGCGACAGGGAGAGCGUUUCCAAAGAAGGAGCUGUCCACGCGCCCGGGUGCUGAACUGCGUUCAACCAUUUUGGAAUCGCGUCGGCUGCAGAGUAGAGCCUUUCGGUGCAACCCCGGGAAGAGACCUCGACAGGGGGGGAGAAGGAUGGCAAGCAAGUCCAGAUCAAGAAAGAAAAGAAAGUCAGGAGCCGCCUAGGCCCCUGGGAUCCAGCGGUCCUGCGUGGAUUUGGGAGCAGCGCUCACCCGGCCGGCGACAAUCUGUUGGAUUCUCCUCUGCCUCCGCCUCCCUUUGCUCCGAGCCACGGGACGUACAGUUGUGGAUUUAUUGUCGCGGUGCCAGCAUCUUCUUCGCUUCCUCCUCCUCUUCCUCCUCCUCCUCUUCCACCACCACCACCCCCAUCAGCCUUCUGACUCUCUUCGGUGACGGGUAUUCUUGGGUGGAUAAUACGGAUUACGUUGUUAUUGCUUAA